RNAcentral lists this small RNA (532 nucleotides) under uncultured fungus. RNAcentral describes it as "eukaryotic LSU rRNA". The stretch from base 153 to 306 matches the Rfam family "5.8S ribosomal RNA". The record is from RNAcentral. Lineage: Eukaryota; Fungi.
CAACCUCCCACCCAUGUUUAUUGUACCUUGUUGCUUCGGCGGGCCCGCCUCACGGCCGCCGGGGGGCUUCUGCCCUCUGGCCCGCGCCCGCCGAAGACACCAUUGAACACUGUCUGAAGAUUGCAGUCUGAGCAAUUAGCUAAAUAAGUUAAAACUUUCAACAACGGAUCUCUUGGUUCCGGCAUCGAUGAAGAACGCAGCGAAAUGCGAUACGUAAUGUGAAUUGCAGAAUUCAGUGAAUCAUCGAGUCUUUGAACGCACAUUGCGCCCCUUGGUAUUCCGGGGGGCAUGCCUGUCCGAGCGUCAUUGCUGCCCUCAAGCACGGCUUGUGUGUUGGGCCCCGUCCUCCUUCCCGGGGGACGGGCCCGAAAGGCAGCGGCGGCACCGCGUCCGGUCCUCGAGCGUAUGGGGCUUUGUCACCCGCUUUUGUAGGCCCGGCCGGCGCUUGCCGACAACCAUCAAUCUUUUUUCAGGUUGACCUCGGAUCAGGUAGGGAUACCCGCUGAACUUAAGCAUAUCAAUAAGCGGAGGA